GAUCAUGGCUCAGGACGAACGCUGGCGGCGUGCUUAACACAUGCAAGUCGAACGAGAGGACAAGAGAAGCUUGCUUCUCUUGGAAUCGAGUGGCAAACGGGUGAGUAACACGUAAACAACCUGCCUUCAGGGUGGGGACAACAGACGGAAACGACUGCUAAUACCGAAUACGCUUGGGAGACCGCAUGAUCUUCCAAGGAAAGGGUGGCCUCUACCUGUAAGCUAUCGCCUGAAGAGGGGUUUGCG
RNAcentral lists this ribosomal RNA (246 nucleotides) under uncultured bacterium. RNAcentral describes it as "partial 16S ribosomal RNA". It matches the Rfam family "Bacterial small subunit ribosomal RNA", at positions 15 to 235 of the family's 1533-position model. The record is from RNAcentral.